Molecule: transfer RNA, 63 nt
Filed under: Dosinia troscheli
Lineage: Eukaryota; Metazoa; Mollusca; Bivalvia; Venerida; Veneridae
Description: tRNA-Trp
Source: RNAcentral
AAAGUGUUAAGUUAUAAUAGACUGUAGUAUUUCAAGUAUUGAAGAGAGUUUUUUCACACUUUG